Molecule: ribosomal RNA, 433 nt
Filed under: uncultured bacterium
Lineage: Bacteria
Description: partial 16S ribosomal RNA
Rfam family: Bacterial small subunit ribosomal RNA
Source: RNAcentral
AACGAACGCUGGCGGCAUGCCUAACACAUGCAAGUCGAACGAGACCUUCCGGCCUAGUGGCGCACGGGUGCGUGACGCGUGGGAACCUGCCCUUGGGUUCGGAAUAACUGACCGAAAGGGGUGCUAAUACCGGUUAAUGUCUUCGGACCAAAGAUUUAUCGCCUUUGGAUGGGCGCUGGUUGGAUUAGCUGGUUGGUAGGGUAAAAGCCUACCAAGGCGACGAUCCAUGGCUGGUGUGGGAGGAUGAUCAGCCACACUGGGACUGAGACACGGCCCAGACUCCUACGGGAGGCAGCAGUGGGGAAUAUUGGGCAAUGGGCGAAAGCCUGAUACAGCAAUGCCGGGGAAGUGAUGAAGGCCUUAGGGUUGUAAAGCUCUUUUAGCCGGGAUGUUAAUGACAGUACCGGGUGAAGAAGCACCGGCUAACUCCGUG